This 406-nucleotide ribosomal RNA is filed under the name uncultured bacterium. Its description in RNAcentral is "partial 16S ribosomal RNA". It matches the Rfam family "Bacterial small subunit ribosomal RNA", at positions 30 to 526 of the family's 1533-position model. The record is from RNAcentral.
AUUGAACGCUGGCGGCAGGCAUAACACAUGCAAGUCGAACGAGUGGCGGACGGGUGAGUAAUGUCUGGGAAACUGCCCGAUGGCGGGGGAUAACUACUGGAAACGGUAGCUAAUACCGCAUACCAUCGGAUGUGCCCAGCUGGGAUUAGCGAGUAGGUGGGGUAACGGCUCACCUAGGCGACGAUCCCUAGCUGGUCUGAGAGGAUGACCAGCCACACUGGAAUGGAGACACGGUCCAGACUCCUACGUGAGGCAGCAGUGGGGAAUAUGGCACAAUGGGCGCAAGCCUGAUGCAGCCAUGCCGCGUGUAUGAAGAAGGCCUUCGGGUUGUAAAGUACUUGCAGCGAGGAGGCGUUACUCGCAGAAGAAGCACAGGCGAACUCCGUGCCAGCAGCCGCGGUAAUAC